Long non-coding RNA from Aphis gossypii (cotton aphid), 1206 nucleotides. RefSeq lists it as uncharacterized. The record is from RefSeq and is a predicted model, not a curated record. The transcript is spliced from 5 exons. Lineage: Eukaryota; Metazoa; Arthropoda; Insecta; Hemiptera; Aphididae.
ACUACGGUAAAACGCGUCGACAUUGUUUCGUCCGGGACGACGUCAAUCACCGUUCGCCGGCCACCGGUCCGAGUGUGUGUGCCGACGAAUCACGCCGCCAAACACAAUGGAUUCAUUAUGGCGUUCGUGGAAAUCGUAAUUAUAAUAAUAAUAAUAAUAAUAAUAUCGAAUUCAAAGGUCGCCGCGGCCGAUCGCAAUUGUGUUUAAAGCGCGUGUUUUUUAAGGGGAAAACGGCCGUGAUGAGGCAUCGCCGGUCCAUAAUAUAAUAUAAUAGAUUGUUGGAUGUUGUACGAAAAAAAUCGAACGGCUAAACAACAAUAGUUCGCUCAGCAUCGUUUUAAAAUGCCAAUAACAAAACGACCGAUGAACGCCGUGCGCGUGUUAUGCCACGUUUUAUUGUAUAAUAAUCGCCCUGGCUCUGGUCAACAAGCGUCUGUAUUAUACGGUUGUUAUCAGAAAUUAUUAUAAUUUUUAUUUUCGAGCAGUGCGAUGGAUUUUAAAAUUACUGCUUAAAUCAAAUCAAAAAAAAAAAAAAACUUUUCACUAUAGUUGUAGUUCUAGAGACAUCACUAAUGCGAUCAUUCAAAGGAAACGGGGACGGAAGGACGAUGGCAGGAUUAUAAAUAAUUAAUUACGCUUAAUAUUUAUCAAAUAAACAUAACGUGUGGGCAUAAGAGGUAAUGAGUAGGCGAUGACAAAAAGGUGACUCUUAAAUUUUUCGAUUUUCGAUUGUCAACAUUUCAAGCCGAUAUUCUCACGGUCGUCAACGUAAUUGGUUUGUCUACCUUUGUGGGAUUCGUCAAGCAAGGCCUAAAGUAAAGUAAAUGUGAAGUAUGCAAUGUUGAUACCGGAUCUCAAGUUAUAAAGCUUUUAAUAAUAUUGAGUAAAUUAACGAAAAUACAGUAUUUGUUGGAGCUAAAAAAUAAUUAUUAAUUUCAUGGAUAUUCAACACGUCACGUGUUUACGCGUUAAAAAAAAUAAAUAAAAAACAAUACAUAUCUAAUUCAGGACACGGAGGCAAUUUGAGAUGCAGACAAUAUGCAUAUUGUCAUAUCGUAUAUUAGAAGUAUAUCCAAAAAUGGGUGUAUACAUUUAUGUAAGCUCAUCAUAAUAUGUAAAAUAGAUAUAAAUGGACGCAAUAUUUUGACGUUUAUGUAACGUUUUUCAGAAAUUGUUUUCAAAUCUUAAAUUCUUUUUUUUACAUCA